Molecule: ribosomal RNA, 467 nt
Filed under: uncultured bacterium
Lineage: Bacteria
Description: partial 16S ribosomal RNA
Rfam family: Bacterial small subunit ribosomal RNA
Source: RNAcentral
GACGAACGCUGGCGGCGUGCUUAACACAUGCAAGUCGAACGGAAAGGCUCCAGCUUGCUGGUGUGCUCGAGUGGCGAACGGGUGAGUAACACGUAGGCAAUCUGCCCUGCACUCUGGGAUAAGCCUGGGAAACUGGGCCUACUACCGGAUAGGACCUUUCUCCCCAUGGGGUUCGGUGGAAAUUUUUUCGGUGCAGGAUGAGCGCGCGGCCUAUCAGCUUGUUGGUGGGGUAAUGGCCUACCAAGGCGACGACGGGUAGCCGGCCUGGGAGGGUGAUCGGCCACCAUGGGACUGAGAUACGGCCCAGACUGCUACGUGAGGCAGCAGUGGGGAAUAUUGCACAAUGGGCGAAAGCCUGAUGAAGCGACGCCGCGUGAGGGAUGACGGCCUGCGGGGUGUAAACCGCUUUCAGUAGGGACGAAGCGCAAGUGACGGUACCUGCAGAAGAAGCACCGGCUAACUACGUG